CACAGUUACCCACAGUUGUUUACUGGAGAAAUGUUGCACAACAGUAUGCAUGAUAUAUACUCAUUCUUGUAGCAUUAGUAGCUUUAUAGUAAACAGGUAAAAUACAUUUGAAAUAAUAACUUAUUACCCUGCUAAUACGCUUGUCUCCUGAGGGAAAUUGUUGUCAAGAACUCUCACCCAGCUCUGUGUCUGUAAACAUUAAGAUAUGCAUGUAUUUUUUUAAAAAAUAUUUUUAGGAGGAAAGAACAAAAUACAAAUGCGUGAUUUUUUUUAAUUUCAGAACUCCCCCGACUUUUUACUGAUCUGUUUCUUAGGACUCUAAUUUCGAAUUUGCUCUCUGUGCCUCUCGAUUUAAUUACCAUCACAGCACUCCCCGGCGUCACCUGAAGACGCACAGUGAAUGUCUGCCAUUGACACCUGCUCAUUGGAGCCUGCUAAUGUCCCAGCAGAUGAAGACAAGAGCAAAUGGACCGUCAGCAAUGCGCUUCAUGACGAGUGAACUGGAACCUGAGAGCUCGGUGAUUCCACGUGACGUAGCUCCAGCCAUUUUUUCCAGUCCUGGAGGUACGGACCAAGGAGUGAGUUGCUGAAUUGUGUUCGAAGAGCACUUUCAGGUUGCUAAGCAACUGCCCAGCUGUCUUCCAAAGAGGCAGUAGCAUUUUGCACCCCAGCAGCAGUGAAUGAGAGUUCCCGUCGCUCCCCUUCCUGUCAGCAUCUGAUGCUGUCGGUGGCUUGGAUCUUGGCUCUUCCGGUCGGAGCAGCACUAUCUCAGGUUCGCCUUCCUUUGUAUUCACUGUGCUGUGCUCUCAGUGUCCUCUGCUGUCCUCGCUGUGAAACUUAAUUCAUUGCAAAGACUUGCAAGGUGGGGC
RNAcentral lists this long non-coding RNA (869 nucleotides) under Fukomys damarensis (Damara mole-rat). Its description in RNAcentral is "lncRNA (ENSFDAG00000032039.1)". The record is from RNAcentral. Lineage: Eukaryota; Metazoa; Chordata; Mammalia; Rodentia; Bathyergidae.